CCCUUAGAUGUUCUGGGCUGCACGCGCGCUACACUGACACACUCAGCGAGUCUCCUGGCCCGAGAGGGUUGGGUAAUCAUGUGAGCGUGUGUCGUGAUGGGGAUAGAAUAUUGUAAUUAUUGCUCUUCAACGAGGAAUUCCUAGUAAGCGCGAGUCAGCAGCUCGCGCUGAUUACGUCCCUGCCCUUUGUACACACCGCCCGUCGCUCCUACCGAUGGGGUGAUCCGGUGAAUGAUUCGGACUUCCGCAGUGCUAGCUACUAGCUUUGUGGAAGAAAGUCUUGUGAACCUUNUNACUUGCNGGAAGGAGAANUCGUANCA
This 320-nucleotide ribosomal RNA is filed under the name uncultured eukaryote. Its description in RNAcentral is "partial 18S ribosomal RNA". It matches the Rfam family "Eukaryotic small subunit ribosomal RNA", at positions 1470 to 1796 of the family's 1831-position model. The record is from RNAcentral.